CCUACGGGUGGCAGCAGUGAGGAAUAUUGGUCAAUGGCCGAGAGGCUGAACCAGCCAAGUCGCGUGAGGGAAGAAUGUCCUAUGGAUUGUAAACCUCUUUUGUCAGGGAGCAAAGUCACCCACGUGUGGGUGUUGGAGAGUACCUGACGAAAAAGCAUCGGCUAACUCCGUGCCAGCAGCCGCGGUAAUACGGAGGAUGCGAGCGUUAUCCGGAUUUAGUGGGUUUAAAGGGUGCGUAGGCGGGCAUUUAAGCCGGCGGUCAAAUGUCGGGGCUCAACCCCGGCCUGCCGUCGGAACUGGGUGCCUUGAGUGGGCGAGAAGUAUGCGGAAUGCGUGGUGUAGCAGUGAAAUGCAUAGAUAUCACGCAGAACCCCGAUUGCGAAGGCAGCAUACCGGCGCCCUACUGACGCUGAGGCACGAAAGUGCGGGUAUCGAACAGGAUUAGAUACCCCAGUAGUC
Molecule: ribosomal RNA, 459 nt
Filed under: uncultured bacterium
Lineage: Bacteria
Description: partial 16S ribosomal RNA
Rfam family: Bacterial small subunit ribosomal RNA
Source: RNAcentral